Molecule: ribosomal RNA, 429 nt
Filed under: Chloroflexota bacterium
Lineage: Bacteria; Bacillati; Chloroflexota
Description: Chloroflexi bacterium partial 16S ribosomal RNA
Rfam family: Bacterial small subunit ribosomal RNA
Source: RNAcentral
UAGGGAAUCUUCGGCAAUGGACGAAAGUCUGACCGAGCAACGCCGCGUGAGUGAAGAAGGUUUUCGGAUCGUAAAACUCUGUUGUUAGAGAAGAACAAGGACGUUAGUAACUGAACGUCCCCUGACGGUAUCUAACCAGAAAGCCACGGCUAACUACGUGCCAGCAGCCGCGGUAAUACGUAGGUGGCAAGCGUUGUCCGGAUUUAUUGGGCGUAAAGCGAGCGCAGGCGGUUUCUUAAGUCUGAUGUGAAAGCCCCCGGCUCAACCGGGGAGGGUCAUUGGAAACUGGGAGACUUGAGUGCAGAAGAGGGGGGUGGAAUUCCAUGUGUAGCGGUGAAAUGCGUAGAUAUAUGGAGGAACACCAGUGGGGAAGGCGGGUCUCUGGUCUGUAACUGACGCUGAGGCUCGAAAGCGUGGGGAGCAAACAGG